Molecule: non-coding RNA, 64 nt
Organism: Frischella perrara
Lineage: Bacteria; Pseudomonadati; Pseudomonadota; Gammaproteobacteria; Orbales; Orbaceae
Source: Rfam
UGUAUGGUGUAUAAAUUCCGUUGUAUAACAACCAUUUAUAUAGCGAUACAAACAUAAAAGAGGC